Chinchilla lanigera (long-tailed chinchilla) is the source of this 894-nucleotide long non-coding RNA. RefSeq lists it as uncharacterized. NCBI's taxonomy places the organism in Eukaryota, Metazoa, Chordata, Mammalia, Rodentia, Chinchillidae. The record is from RefSeq and is a predicted model, not a curated record. The transcript has 4 exons.
AGCAGCAAAUGACCCAGUGCACUUUCCUUUUGUGAGUACAAGUCAUACAGUGGUAAGAACUUUGCAACAAACUUUGACAUGGGACAAUCAAAAACAGCAGCCAGCCUGGUCCCCAGAGGGGUUGGAUUCCUGAAGAAUUUAUCAGCAUCUGGAGCAGAGAAUGGAAGCAGAUCUCAGACCAAAUGAGAUGAAAGGAGAAUCAUCUUGUGCUGUGACCCCUCUCUUGGACCCUUCAUUUUCUGCUUUUGAGAGACUGGAUGAGCACCUAAGGUAUAGCUGUUUGCAGAACUCCAGCUCAUACAGCUCAUCCAGCCAGUGCAUGGCACUCUAGCCAAAUGCCAUGUGCUGUGAUGAUGCCAUUUGCCGUAAUAUGACACAGGCAAGGGGGCCUCACCAGACUGAACCAACAAAGCUACCCAAUUUUGGAUUUCCAGCCUCCAAAACCGCAAUCAAAAUUGUCCAUAUCAUGGUGAAGAUGUAAUGAACAUACUGGCCUGUAUCCAUUGGAUUAGGAUGCCCCAGAACAAUGACAAGGACCCAAAGACAGCAAGUCUUUUUCUUCUUCAAGUGGGGCAUUUUAACAUUCAGACUGUUAUAAGUGCAGAGGAAGAGGCAAACUAUGGAAACUCCACCCCGAUCCUGGACUUGAGCAUGUUCAUCACUAACUUGUCUCAUUAAAUCUCCUCAGCCAAGGCACCUGGUCCAAAAAGGUCUCAUCCACCACAGGAUGCCCACACCAUGGACUGAGAUGCAGGAAAUCAGGGAGCUGCAGAUAUGGGAAAGGAUAGAAUCAAGGGCUCUCCUUUAGAUCUGUGAAGUUUGAGAUGUCUGCUAGAUAAUCACAUGGAGACAGAUGGAUUUGGAUAAACAAUGGGCUUUUAAGAAUAAAGCUCU